This 392-nucleotide ribosomal RNA is filed under the name uncultured bacterium. Its description in RNAcentral is "bacterial SSU rRNA". It matches the Rfam family "Bacterial small subunit ribosomal RNA", at positions 521 to 916 of the family's 1533-position model. The record is from RNAcentral.
UAAUACGUAGGGGGCAAGCGUUGUCCGGAUUUAUUGGGCGUAAAGGGUUCGCAGGCGGCCUUUUAAGUCAGAUGUGAAAGACUACAGCUCAACUGUGGUAAGCAUUUGAAACUGAAAGGCUUGAGUUAAGGAGAGGAAAGUGGAAUUCCUAGUGUAGCGGUGAAAUGCGUAGAUAUUAGGAGGAAUACCAGUGGCGAAGGCGACUUUCUGGACUUAUACUGACGCUGAGGAACGAAAGCGUGGGGAGCAAACAGGAUUAGAUACCCUGGUAGUCCACGCCGUAAACGAUGAGUGCUAGGUGUUGGGGGUCAAACCUCGGUGCCGCAGCUAACGCAUUAAGCACUCCGCCUGGGGAGUACGUACGCAAGUAUGAAACUUAAAUGAAUUGACGG